RNAcentral lists this ribosomal RNA (253 nucleotides) under uncultured bacterium. Its description in RNAcentral is "partial 16S ribosomal RNA". It matches the Rfam family "Bacterial small subunit ribosomal RNA", at positions 524 to 776 of the family's 1533-position model. The record is from RNAcentral.
UACGUAGGGGGCUAGCGUUGCUCGGAAUCACUGGGCGUAAAGCGCACGUAGGCGGAUUGCUAAGUCAGGGGUGAAAUCCUGGAGCUCAACUCCAGAAUUGCCUUUGAUACUGGCGACCUUGAGUCCGGGAGAGGUGAGUGGAACUGCGAGUGUAGAGGUGAAAUUCGUAGAUAUUCGCAAGAACACCAGUGGCGAAGGCGGCUCACUGGCCCGGUACUGACGCUGAGGUGCGAAAGCGUGGGGAGCAAACAGG